Molecule: unclassified non-coding RNA, 307 nt
Filed under: plant metagenome
Description: partial contains 5.8S ribosomal RNA, internal transcribed spacer 2, and large subunit ribosomal RNA
Rfam family: 5.8S ribosomal RNA (bases 1-106)
Source: RNAcentral
GAAAUGCGAUAAGUAAUGCGAAUUGCAGAAUUUCCGUGAGUCAUCGAAUCUUUGAACGCACAUUGCGCCCAUUGGUAUUCCGAUGGGCAUGCCUGUCCGAGCGUCAUUUCAACCAUCAAGCCCCCGGGCUUGUGUUGGGGACCUGCGGCUGCCCGCAGGCCCUGAAAACCAGUGGCGGGCUCGCUGUCACACCGAGCGUAGUAGCAAUCACCUCGCUCAGGGCGUGCUGCGGGUUCCGGCCGUUAAACAGCCUUACAAAACCCAAGGUUGACCUCGGAUCAGGUAGGAAGACCCGCUGAACUUAAGC